GGCACAAACUUUCACUUAGGCACCUCAAGUGAAUGUUGUUCACUUUUAACACCUCAAGUAGCCACAAAGUGUGUCACUUUGACACCUUUUGCUGAAUCAACAAAGAGAGUUGUUGCACUUGCUGUCAGGCGCGUUUUAGGGUAUAUAACAUAUAAAUGAAUCAAUUAUAAAAGGACAUUUGAUAUUUUUAUAAAAAUAUUUC
RNAcentral lists this long non-coding RNA (202 nucleotides) under Capsicum annuum. RNAcentral describes it as "long non-coding RNA (CANN_LNC000928)". Lineage: Eukaryota; Viridiplantae; Streptophyta; Magnoliopsida; Solanales; Solanaceae. The record is from RNAcentral.